This 242-nucleotide long non-coding RNA is filed under the name Elaeis guineensis (African oil palm). RNAcentral describes it as "long non-coding RNA (EGUI_LNC000312)". Lineage: Eukaryota; Viridiplantae; Streptophyta; Magnoliopsida; Arecales; Arecaceae. The record is from RNAcentral.
UAUACAACUGGCUCCCUCUUGCUAAUUGCAAGAUAGUAGCAUCAAGAGAGAAAUAUUAAAAGACAAGCAAUGCUGUGUUCCCACGGAAUUCUAGAAGAAUUCUUUUAAGCAGGUGUAUAACUUUUUCAACGCUUAAUUAUGUGGCGCAUUUCCCUUUCACGAAAUCAAUUCAGAGGAAACAAAGGAGAACCGGAACGAACAAAAAUUCUUUUGGUAAAACAAAUAAAAAGAAUACUUUGGCG